This 3510-nucleotide long non-coding RNA is filed under the name Rattus norvegicus (Norway rat). RNAcentral describes it as "long non-coding RNA NONRATT009506". Lineage: Eukaryota; Metazoa; Chordata; Mammalia; Rodentia; Muridae. The record is from RNAcentral.
CCUCCCCCUCCGGCUUUUAUGUAGCUCACUAGAGGAAGCACUUUUUCACCCCCUCAGUCCUGCCCACUGAACUCGAAGAUCUGUUGAGUGACAUGCAUAGAAGCAGAUUUCUCUCAUAACCACUAGAAACUAUAAGGUGGAGUGUGGUUUUCUCUGAAAUGUUGGUAUAUGAUGAAGUUAGGAUCAGUGGUGUUAGAGGCUGGCCAAGAGCAUUUUAAGCUGCUUGAGUGCCUGGUUCUGCAAAAUCCUAGAGCCAGCGCUCUCUGAGAGUGCCUCUAGUCCUUUGUCAAACUUAUUGGAAAUCUCUGCAUGCUAGAAGAAGCUUGCUUUCUGGGUUUGUGCCCAGAGGAGUCUGCAGGCAGUAGGCUGCUGUAGUCUGAGCACAGGCCCUCAGAGCUCACCCUCCCGUGUCCUUACCGUGCUCCCUCCCCUCGUGUUUUCUCAUCCCCGUGUAUCUCCCAUUCACUCUUCACACCUAGCACUCAGAGUUCAGAGUCCAAAUUGCUUGGCUGAUGGGUAAGAUGCUCAAGCUAGCUGUGAACAACAGCCAUUUCUUCCCAUUCUCCUGGCUUGGUCCAGGGACAUUUCCUGUCUGUCUGAAGAGAAGUGAGCAGUGCUAUCCUGGAAUGUUAGCCAGUGCUCCUAGGAUUCUUUCAUUCCCCAUUUGUCAGUGGCUAGGGAGGAGGGGUGCCAGUUCAGGGUCUUUCUGUGCCUUUCCUUUGCGGGUUGGUGGUCUGGGCCACCCUGAAACAGCAAACUGGACAUGAGCAGGUGAGAACGUACCAUGUCCUUCACCUCCUCAGCUGUUUACAUAAGUUAACACAAACCUGCUUGUCUGUGGAGACUUGAACAUGACUCCAUAACAUUAGAGGAGAGCUGGCUAGUUUGCAUGCUGGUCCUCAGCAAUAUGUGCAGAUCCUGUUUUACACACAUUGUCCAGACCACGAAAAUGUGGCCUGUGUUCACCUGAAUCUCCCUCGUUAGUUACUCAGUGCUUCUGAAUUCUGUUGCAACUACGGGAAUGGAGUGAGUUACACAUGGUGCCCUUCUACAAGUACAUCUAAGACAUUGCACAUUAGACAGCUUGCAAGCUAGUGGGCAGUAGACGGCCAUUCGUCAGUUUUACCACAUGGUCACUGGGGCAUCCGGACCACCCAGGAGGCAAAAGGUGGGGUGUGCACAGCUGGGGUACCACCAGCGAGACAGACCUUCAGAAUCUGUCCCUGGCUGGUAUGGCAUGUAAAAGGCUGGAAACGCUGGUCGGACUGCCAGCAUCUCGAAGCACAGGGCUAGAGAGACCCAACUCCAUCCUUGUCCUGGGAAUGGAGGAGGGAAACUGCCUCAAGGUUCACCGGGCCUGUCCAGACUCAGCCACACCCGUCUUACCAUUAUGUUUCCCAAUGGUCACCCAGCCUCAGCGGCACCUUAGUUAGUGUCCUCAGACCCUGUGGUCACUGACUGUGACUGGAGGUAGUGGCUGCUGGCAUGUAGACUGGUUCUGUAAUGGGAAUUGGUAGAAUUUCUGAGGAUGGGGACUUCCCACCCAAGUGACUGAGAAGCUUCUAUUAAGCACAACGUACUUAGCUAUGGCUCGACUCCAGAAGUUUAGUGUUUUCAUGAUUAUGGGGAAAGAAGAGAAAUCUCAGGUCCAGCCACAUUUCAGAUAUUUUCUUGGCCACCUUUCAGUCUCGCUAGAGCAGCCUCCUCCCUCCCACUAGUGCCUGUCUUUUUUUCCUCUCCCUGCCGUCAGGUCCCAUCCCUCCUCUCUCCCCAUCCAUCUAGAUGUACCUCAUCACCUGUUGAAGCAGAUCGUGUCUGUCUUUCCUGCUGCCCUUACUGUAAGAGCUGACUGAGGGAGGUGCAGUGGGAAGAGAUGUAGCUUUUGCCUUACUCGAGCCUGAAGAGCUCAGAAACUCAUGCUGUGAAUCCUAAACUUUGUGCUCCUCCAAGAGCUGUGAAAAUCAUGACUUUUUUUUCCCCCCACAAUUUUGCCUGAAAGGGUCUUUUGUGAGGGCUCCAGAGCCAACCUGAGGUCAAUUCUAGAUCCCACUCUCUGGGCAUCCUUCCCCUGGGCAUAUCCUCUGCCCACCAGGCUAAGAGCAGCAGCAAGUCUGCAGGACCGUGGCAUGGCAGCAAGUCCAGGGCUGCAGUGCGGCCAAGGGGACACGGCCCUUGAUCUCCCCAGGCUGGGGCUCUGUCUCCUCUGUACCAUGUGCAUUAAGAUCUGUGCAAGACCAACUUUUAGGUCGUGAUACUUUCCUCCUGGUACCUGGGGGCGAGGGGAGUAUGCGGUUGGUGCUUUCUUUAAUAUCUUUAGUUUGUUUCUAUAGCUUUUCCCCUGGUAUCAUGAAAAGGGCCUUUUUAAUGACCACGUUGUGGGUGGCUGUAUCCAAAGCAUAAUAAUUGGCCAGAGGUAUGGAGUGUCCUCACCUGGAUUCCUGUCAGGAGAGGACUUCUUUCCUGGACUGAGCUUCUAUCUAGACUGGCUAGGAAGGAAGACUUAAAAUUUUUUUUCAAAUCACAAUUAAUUAAUAUUCCAAUUUAGCCGCACUUUGUCCAGCAAAAACUAUCUUGGUUGUGAAGCUGGGGUCCUCAUUCAUCCAGCCCAGCAUGCUAAAAUCUGAGGCUUGCUCUGUCUUUAUAAGACUGUCUGGUGUUGGUUGGGUUUGAAUUUUCAACAAGAGGCCCCUUGAGCUGGGAUCUGGGCCAGUAAGUUGCUGUCCCAAGUGUUCCUGUAUUAUCAUGGCUAAUAGUUCAGUGAAAUGUGUCCAUCUUUGGUAAUGCUAGUAUACAUGAUACCCUACAGUUCCUUUUCUGUUUGAAAGUUUGUGACUCUAAAUGCCCACUGUUACAUUAAUUAAUUUAUGGAAAUAAAUUUUUCUUGAAAACCAUUCAGAUAAUCGUCAAGGCUAUUUUGUUCCUUAGGGCUGGGUAGUAGAUUGGAAUUUUACCAGUAAUGUUCCAGGCAGAUUAGACAUGCUCCCACCUAAUAGGUGUGCUUGCUGCUCCUGUGCCAGGACCUCCCUCACAUUCCCGCAUGCUCACCUCCAUCAUCACCCAGAUCUGUGCAUUCCCAGAUCAUUGGUCUUGAACGUGGUCCCCUCCCAUUCCAUAUCUGCUGCCCGCACACCCCAGAGCUUUUUGCUAUGGCUCCACCUCUCUGUGCUAAACUGUAACAAAAGCUCUUCAGGAUCAGGACCUUGUAUUUUCUUAGCUCUAGUCCCUUCUGGUCUCUUUGGUACCUAGAACGACGUUUGGUCAUUUACAGCUGUUCACCGCCUAAACAUCACUUUGGUCAAUAAACUGCAUAUUACCAUCUUAUGGUAAUAGAGCUGAACAGUUCCUGGGGCCUAGUGAGGUCACAGCUGUGAUGAUGUGUAUUACUCAGGUCUUGGUGUUGGUGCAAACAAUCCAGUGCAUUGCCAGUCUUGUAAAAAUGUAGCACAACUGUGUACAGUAUACUUGAUAGUGCUAAUAAAUGACUCACUGACCUAUGUAAGUCUUUAUUGU